UGGCCAACCCCCCCAAAAAACUUGCAGAGCCUCACAUACAACACUUCACUCUCUACUCUGGGGCUUAGGGAGCAAAUAUCUGACAAGGAAAAAAAAAGUUGUGCUUUUCUGCUGCUUCUUUUUCGCCCCCUCCCCCAACCCAAGAUGGAAUCAGCUCUAUUUAAACUAUUUUAGACUCAAUCAAGCAAGAAUAAUACUAUGGAAUUUAGCGGCAGUUUUAAACCGUGGUGAAGAGAGAGGCGAUCUGAAUUUUUGGAGACAAGAAAGACAUCUGCAUUCUGUGCUUCAGUGGGGGGCUUUACCAUGGGAUCUUUUCCUCCUGGCGGAGACUUGAAUCGCUACUCGCUAGAUUUGAGGGCAAAUUGUUCUUGCAAAGGAAGAAAACAUGUGAGACUACAAAGAAGCAUAAAAUGAAUAGACAAACACCACAAGCAAAGGAUAUACAGCCCUCUCCUUUCAAAGAGUCUACUUAGAUUGCAAGAGAAAUACUUCUUUCUUGGAUUACUCAAACACGUCUGUAUGUUCUACUUCCAUGCCAGCUCAUGAGCAGAAGAUGGCUAGUGACUUAUCUUCUAGAGAAAAAUGACAGAAAUGACUAUUUGGAAUUAUUCCUGGAAUUAGACCAGCAUGAGGUCCCCUCUGCCAAUCUAAGGGGAUUCAGGGAUGGAGCUCAGCACUCUGAGGCGGAUGGGAAACUGACAGAAAAACUGUGCUCUGAACGCAUCUCUCAUGAUCCCACUACAGCAGGCGCUGGCUUUUGGCAUCAGCAGUACCAGCUGCAUUGGGAGAAGCCAAGCCUGUCAUACCAUCUUCACAUCAAAUCUUCAGUAUACAAGAGCCAAAGCAUAGCUAGAGCUUAAUGAAGAAACAAAUACAAAAGAGAAGAUUAGGCCUCGUUAACACUCACAUUCAUUUGUUCUUAUAGAAACUGCAAUGGAUGGGUUGUUUUAUAGAAUUCAUUCUUUCCCUCUAAAGGAGAAAAGUUACAUUGAUGAUGCAUUUUUUUUAUUGUAAAUACUCAGGGGAAAAAAAUCUUUCUGUUCCUGUAUAACUCUAAACCAGUAAAUUGUUUUGUCAAAAAUGCUACUUGAAACAGUUAGGUCUAUGACAACUGUCAAAAUUUGUAAAUAAAUACUUUUCAUUUUUAUGUUAAUAAUAUUGUAGUCUUCUCCACAUAAAGCAUUCCUUUGCAUAGUUAAGUAAUAACGUGGUACUCUUUGGAGAAAUAGUGAUGUGAAACUUUAUCUAUUGUUAUUGAAUUAAAAAAAACCAAUCUGUUUUUUGAGGCUAAACAUUUAUAUUUCACGGCUCCAAAUUACUUUUAUCUUCAAAUUAAUUGCAUUUGAGAAAAGGGAAUUAUAUUUUUGAAGUUCACCAUAAACUAACCAGAAAGUUUGACAGCAGAAUGCUAUAGUUUUUUUUUAUUGUUGUAAGCAAUCAGUCAACUGUACAAAGGUGCAUUGUGUACAGCUGUAAUGUAAAACCUAUUUUUGUUUAUGCUACAUUUAGCUAUCUGUCAACCACUUAAUAUGGAGAAGAUUCAUUUUAAAUGAUAUUAUUCUAAAGGAAACAAGAGCUCCUUAAUGGAAUAAUGUAUUUACUAUGCCACAGUUUGUGUAUAGGACCUACACCAGGAAGAUUCAUAAUGUAUCUGUAGCUUUAAAACCUUAGAUGCAUGUUUAAUGAGGACAGGCUACUGCUAGUAGACACUGAUGCAGAAGAAUAUACAAUACCUCUGCAGGGUCUGAGACAGUUGAUUUUACAGUUUCUUGUAUAUUUUAAAUACAAAUUCAUAAGCAAGGUACUUUACCUCCCCUACAUUGGAACAAUGGGGAAUAUGAACAAUUAGGAUUUUUUUUUCAGUACACAAAUUCUCAUCAGUCAAUAUGCCAGGAGGCCUAAUUAAUGCAUGUCUUAUUUAAAAAAAAAUAUUUCUUUAUUAGAAGUAUAUUUUUUAAAGUAUAAUAUGGACAAAUUCUAUAAAACUUAUAACUCUGUUGUGAGCUGAGUAAAUUCAGGACUGGUUCACCUUUAUGAUCAUAUGAUGAUGACAAAGCAUAAAACAUACUUCUUACAAAUUAAGUUUUGAGCUGUCUAAAUAAUGAGAUGCAUAUUUGCAUAAGGCAGGGCUCUAUAUCUUAAAUAUCUUGGAGAUAUUAUCUUCUAAGUUCCCAUGCACAUGAUGCUUGAAUUUAUACAAACAUAGGAAGAUCAUUACUAUUUGAUACAUAAUUUUUAUACUAAUGUCUUUGAAGGAAAAAAUUAUGAUUCUUUGAAAAUAGUACAGUGGAACCCUUUUGUGAUGCUGAUGGUGUCAGGAGAUAGAAUCAUCCUAAUAUCUCAGACAACAUGGGUUGUGCUCACGUAGCUCUAUGCUUUACUGUAUGUAAUUGAUAGAUUUGGGGGUGAGGGGGAAGACAUGAUUCACCCAUGGUUACUUAAAUCCAUGUCAUAGAGAAUCAUGAAUAAUGAGUCUAGUUAAUAUGGAGUUCUACUGGAUUCAAAAGUAUACCAAAUUUUCCCGUUUUAUCCCCAAUAUUUCUUAGUGGAAACCUCCAUUUUAAAAUGGCAAAUCAAGCUGGGCCCUGCUUGAGUGAACUGGUCUUAUCUCAGAUGCUUUCAACUGAAAUGUUGAAACCCUAUUACAACAAAUGCAUGCUUGUGGAUGAAUUAUUUAAAUGACAUUUGGCAUUUAGAAGUUCACUGUUGUGGUCAUUCUGGCAUCUAUUCAAUCACAUAGCUGUUGCAUACUCUAAAUUGCUAGAUUUUCUUUAUUUGUUAAUUUUAUUAGCAGGCUCCUCAGCAGUUUGUAAUUAAGUAUGACAGGUAGAUUUACAUGAUGGCUCCAAAUGUCAGUAUUGCUCUACAAUAGCAUUAAUAUCACAAUUUUUGUUAGCAAGUAAAAUGAGACUACAUUUUUCUUUAUGUACCAUAAUACACUCUAAGAUAUUUCUUUUUUUACUAAUUACAUCAGCAUUAAUGUGGCCACAUUUUAUCAUCCAUUCUUAAAGCUAUCAGAUGGAUUUCAGCUGAUGUAAUCAGUUAUGUAAAAAAAAGAUGCAAAGCACAGCUACCCUAUUUUAUCACAGAGUAUUUAAUCUCUAAGAUGCCCUAAAUAUGCAAUUAUAAAACACAAGUGAAUUAUUUGGAUUAAUUUGAAACUACAGUGUCAUACACUAAUGCAGACCAUGUUUGGAGGGAAAUCACAUGUACUAAGAUUAACAUUAAAAUUACCCUCAAAGUUGUGCCUCCAAUACAAUAAAAGUUGCAUGCAGGUAUUUGAUGAAAUAUGGACAGAAUACAUGUAAAUGAAUGUAAAUAAUCUUUUAACGUAAAAGUCAUUGAGUCUUUGAAAGAUUUUAAAUGUAUAUUGUUAGUUAGGAAGUAACAUCAUAUUGUCUUCAGGGACUAGAGAUCUAGCAUCAUAGUUUUUACCAAUCUUAAUUUUAUUUACAAUGACAUUGCUUAACUUUGAAGAACAGAAACUAUAUAGAUGUGUAAGAAUAUUUCACAUGUAUGAUUACAAAUUGUAUUAAAAAUUCAAAAGUUAUAUUUGCAGAAGCAGAAAUAAGUAUAUAUUUCACCUUAGCUUUUACACAAAUUACCUACCGUUAAUGUUAUGUACAUUUCCUUUAAAAAUAAGUUGAUUGUGUGAGAAUAUCAGGUAUGAUAGUAAAUGUAAUUUAUCUUAUAAAAUAAAUUUAUGUUUGA
Molecule: non-coding RNA, 3711 nt
Organism: Phascolarctos cinereus (koala)
Lineage: Eukaryota; Metazoa; Chordata; Mammalia; Diprotodontia; Phascolarctidae
Source: RefSeq, a predicted model, not a curated record